UUUGAAAUCUGACUUCGGUCUGAGUUGUAAUUUGUAGAGGGUAUUUGGAAAGCGACGUCGGCCUAAGUCCCUUGGAACAGGGCGUCAUAGAGGGUGAGAAUCCCGUAUGUGGCCAUGCGUCAAUUUCAUGUCAAAUCUCUUCGACGAGUCGAGUUGUUUGGGAAUGCAGCUCAAAAUGGGUGGUAAAUUUCAUCUAAAGCUAAAUACCGGCCAGAGACCGAUAGCGCACAAGUAGAGUGAUCGAAAGAUGAAAAGCACUUUGGAAAGAGAGUUAAACAGUACGUGAAAUUGUUGAAAGGGAAGCGCUUGCCAUUAGACCGAUCUUCAGGCAGCAGUUUAGAGGUAACUCUGGAUGUAAAGCACCUGUUCUUCGGCCAGCAUCGGUUUAGGUGGUUUGACAAAAACCAUAAGAACGUAGCUCCUCGGAGUGUUAUAGCUUAUGGUAUAAUGAAGCCUACCUGGACCGAGGACCGCGCUUCGGCUAGGAUGCUGGCGUAAU
This 499-nucleotide ribosomal RNA is filed under the name Siphula fastigiata. Its description in RNAcentral is "LSU rRNA". It matches the Rfam family "Eukaryotic large subunit ribosomal RNA", at positions 114 to 635 of the family's 3401-position model. The record is from RNAcentral. Lineage: Eukaryota; Fungi; Ascomycota; Lecanoromycetes; Pertusariales; Icmadophilaceae.